UACGUAGGGUGCGAGCGUUGUCCGGAAUUAUUGGGCGUAAAGAGCUCGUAGGCGGUUUGUCGCGUCGGCCGUGAAAACCUGGGGCUUAACUCUGGGCUUGCGGUCGAUACGGGCAGACUUGAGUUCGGUAGGGGAGACUGGAAUUCCUGGUGUAGCAGUGAAAUGCGUAGAUAUCAGGAGGAAUACCGAUGGCGAAGGCAGGUCUCUGGGCUAGAACUGACGCUCAUGCACGAAAGCGUGGGGAGCAAACGGG
Molecule: ribosomal RNA, 253 nt
Filed under: uncultured bacterium
Lineage: Bacteria
Description: partial 16S ribosomal RNA
Rfam family: Bacterial small subunit ribosomal RNA
Source: RNAcentral